Molecule: long non-coding RNA, 374 nt
Organism: Carassius carassius (crucian carp)
Lineage: Eukaryota; Metazoa; Chordata; Actinopteri; Cypriniformes; Cyprinidae
Exons: 2
Source: RefSeq, a predicted model, not a curated record
GAUUUAGUACAUGGGGGAGAGAAAAGAAGACCUCAUCAGUGUCCACCACAGUCAUGAUGAAAGAGAGGUGCACACUGAGCUUGGCAGUUCCCCACUGAAAAUAUACAGGUGCCAUCAGCCAAACGCGAUUGGGAUUAUCAUACAGUAGAAGGACAGCCCGUGGUCAGAGGUGUGCCAAACCUGUAGAAAACAUGCUGCCUCCUGUUUGGACUUGCCUAUGCCCACAACCUCAAAUAUCACUCAAAACUGGUGUAUACUUCUGAGAUAUAUCUGAGGCUCUUUGUGGGAUUGGACCCCAUGCAUCCUUUUGUAUGUUUUGUAGGCACUGUUAAAAGUGACACUAGUUGACACUGAAAAAAUGUUAUUGUCUUUAA